GUUUUGUUAUCAUCAUCUACAUUCUCUGAUUUAUGUAGUGUCUAUGAACGUUAAUCAUGUCUUGGACAUUUAUCAAACUUACUGAUUUUUGUUUAUUUUGAUUUUCAUGUGAAUCCCUAAAUCUUGGAUAACAAUCGGACUCCGAUCAUUCAACAAGCAACAGAGUUCGUCGACCAAAACAGUUAUGGAUCCUAAAAACAAUGCUCCAAUCGUUUUUAAAGUUGAUUGAUGACUAUCAUCCUAUAUUUUUGGAAAUACCGUAUAAUGAGCGACCUUAUUGUGGGAAAGAAAAGUUCCAUAUGGCCAAUGUCUUGAAAUUAUUGAUGAUGACUUAUGCAACUGCAGGAGUCUGAAUCUUCUUCGAACACAAGACUUAGCAAGUUAGCAAGCGAAGGCAACUUUCCGAGUGAGUUGAAGGCAUUGAUAAACAAGAGGUUUGCGUUUAAGAUAACCAUAGCUUCGUUUAAUAUAAAAUAGAAAUCAGAUGGCUACUCUGUUUCCAAGUUGACUGAAAAUCCUUCCAUCAUCAAAGAUCUUGAUACUCAUUUUGAUGUUUACCAGGUUCUAUAUGUACCCUAAACGUUAACUU
Molecule: long non-coding RNA, 589 nt
Organism: Helianthus annuus (common sunflower)
Lineage: Eukaryota; Viridiplantae; Streptophyta; Magnoliopsida; Asterales; Asteraceae
Exons: 5
Source: RefSeq, a predicted model, not a curated record